CAGGUGAAACUCCCAUUGAUUUCAGUGAAUUAAAAUCAAGACAGACUGACAUUUGGCCUCUAUCUAGUUUUUAAAAGCCAGUUGGAGAACAGCACCUGACAUGUGUAAAACAACAAAACAAAACAAAACAAAAAAGGUGUGUAAUACAUAAGUUGAAGAUGGUUUUACUAAUAUUUGAAAAUAAGGUCCAGCAUUUUUCCAAGUAAUAAACAAUUGGGCUACCUGCGUUUGAAGCCUUUAGGACAAUGAAUUUAUCUCUAUUUCCCCAGCUAAAAUGAAAUGACAUCUUAAUCCUGUUGAGAAAAUUAAGUUUAAUCAUUCUAAAUUGCAAUAAUAUUAUUAAAUAACUGUUUAGUAAAGCUGUCACCUGCUGUCUGUGCAAUGACCUAUUUGAAAUGAGCUUGUGAUGGCAGUCCAUUUCCUAGUACGCAGGUGUCUAGAUCUCAAAACCCCUGGCAAGAGAAUUCCUAGCUUAACUAGGCACGGAAAUAGAACUAUCCUCUAAUCUACUGACUCCCAAACUUCAUUGGUUCAUAUAACAUCUUUAAAAAAGAACUUCGUGAAGUGGAUGGAACAUCCAACUCAUGUACACACUGAACUCCUGAUUACCCUUAACCCUAAUUUGCAGUGUUCAGCUCUGAGACACAUUGACAGGGUAACAUAAGAAAGGGUGCACUAUUGUUGGGAGCUGUUCUGUGGACAUAAAGCAUUUCAUUGCCCAGUUCUAUUAGACAUUUCCACAAAUACUAAAUUCACUGUACUUGUUUUAAAAAUUUUAGGGUUAGAUAGGAGAUGAGUGGUGACAUUUUGCAUAUGCACUUCCAAAACAGACACAGGGUCCAAAACAUAGAUAUGGAAAUAAUAAAGGUACUGACCAGCGUUAGUUCUCUUAAGAUAUGUGGCUACUUUUAAAAUCAAAGUAUUUCAGAGUAAGUUGCUUCUACUCCCCUUACUGGUUUUGACUUAAACUUCGUAACUUAUAUGCUGUCUAGUAGGAUGACUUUAAUGGGAACAAUUUUAUUUAUAUUUAGUGGAACAUUUAAACAGUUACUCUAUUAAAAAUUCCUUAUUGCAAUAAAAUGUUAGUGGUCUCAUUGAUUUUUCUCCCU
RNAcentral lists this long non-coding RNA (1109 nucleotides) under Chrysemys picta bellii (western painted turtle). RNAcentral describes it as "lncRNA (ENSCPBG00000016010.1)". The record is from RNAcentral. Lineage: Eukaryota; Metazoa; Chordata; Testudines; Emydidae.